This 75-nucleotide transfer RNA is filed under the name Peptococcaceae bacterium BRH_c8a. Its description in RNAcentral is "tRNA-Ala". It matches the Rfam family "tRNA". Rfam says of the family: Transfer RNA (tRNA) molecules are approximately 80 nucleotides in length. Their secondary structure includes four short double-helical elements and three loops (D, anti-codon, and T loops). Further hydrogen bonds mediate the characteristic L-shaped molecular structure. tRNAs have two regions of fundamental functional importance: the anti-codon, which is responsible for specific mRNA codon recognition, and the 3' end, to which the tRNAs corresponding amino acid is attached (by aminoacyl-tRNA synthetases). tRNAs cope with the degeneracy of the genetic code in two manners: having more than one tRNA (with a specific anti-codon) for a particular amino acid; and 'wobble' base-pairing, i.e. permitting non-standard base-pairing at the 3rd anti-codon position. The record is from RNAcentral. Lineage: Bacteria; Bacillati; Bacillota; Clostridia; Eubacteriales; Peptococcaceae.
GGGCGUGUAGCUCAGUGGGAGAGCACCGCGUUCGCAACGCGGGGGCCGGGGGUUCGAAUCCCCUCUCGUCCACCA